CCCUUAGAUGUUCUGGGCCGCACGCGCGCUACACUGAUCGAUUCAACGAGUUUUGAAAUAAUUUUUUGAUUUUUUCAUAUCCUUUGUCGGAAGGCAUGGGUAAUCUUUUAAAUGUCGAUCGUGAUGGGGCUAGAUUCUUGCAAUUAUUAAUCUCCAACGAGGAAUUCCUAGUAAACGCAAGUCAUCAGCUUGCAUUGAUUACGUCCCUGCCCUUUGUACACACCGCCCGUCGCACCUACCGAUUGAGUGGUCCGGUGAGGCUUUGGGAUCUGAGCGGAAAGAGCGUUUCGCUGUUUCUGCUCGGAAAACUCAGUCGAACCUUAUCAUUUAGAGGAAGGAGAAGUCGUAACA
Molecule: ribosomal RNA, 351 nt
Filed under: uncultured eukaryote
Lineage: Eukaryota
Description: partial 18S ribosomal RNA
Rfam family: Eukaryotic small subunit ribosomal RNA
Source: RNAcentral